This 484-nucleotide ribosomal RNA is filed under the name uncultured bacterium. Its description in RNAcentral is "partial 16S ribosomal RNA". It matches the Rfam family "Bacterial small subunit ribosomal RNA", at positions 29 to 507 of the family's 1533-position model. The record is from RNAcentral.
AUUGAACGCUGGCGGCAUGCUUUACACAUGCAAGUCGAACGGCAGCGCGGGCUUCGGCCUGGCGGCGAGUGGCGAACGGGUGAGUAAUACAUCGGAACGUGCCCAGUAGGGGGGGAUAGCUCGGCGAAAGCCGGAUUAAUACCGCAUACGACCUGAGGGUGAAAGCGGGGGAUCUUCGGACCUCGCGCUAUUGGAGCGGCCGAUGGCAGAUUAGCUAGUUGGUGGGGUAAAGGCCUACCAAGGCGACGAUCUGUAGCUGGUCUGAGAGGACGACCAGCCACACUGGGACUGAGACACGGCCCAGACUCCUACGGGAGGCAGCAGUGGGGAAUUUUGGACAAUGGGCGAAAGCCUGAUCCAGCAAUGCCGCGUGUGUGAUGAAGGCCUUCGGGUUGUAAAGCACUUUUGGCGGGAACGAAAAGGACUGUGCCAAUACCACGGUUCGAUGACGGUACCCGCAGAAUAAGCACCGGCUAACUACGUG